UACACUCCCAAACCCAAUGUGAACGUUACCAAACUGUUGCCUCGGCGGGAUCUCUGCCCCGGGUGCGUCGCAGCCCCGGACCAAGGCGCCCGCCGGAGGACCAACCAAAACUCUUAUUGUAUACCCCCUCGCGGGUUUUUUUAUAAUCUGAGCCUUCUCGGCGCCUCUCGUAGGCGUUUCGAAAAUGAAUCAAAACUUUCAACAACGGAUCUCUUGGUUCUGGCAUCGAUGAAGAACGCAGCGAAAUGCGAUAAGUAAUGUGAAUUGCAGAAUUCAGUGAAUCAUCGAAUCUUUGAACGCACAUUGCGCCCGCCAGUAUUCUGGCGGGCAUGCCUGUCCGAGCGUCAUUUCAACCCUCGAACCCCUCCGGGGGGUCGGCGUUGGGGAUCGGCCCUGCCUUGGCGGUGGCCGUCUCCGAAAUACAGUGGCGGUCUCGCCGCAGCCUCUCCUGCGCAGUAGUUUGCACACUCGCAUCGGGAGCGCGGCGCGUCCACAGCCGUUAAACACCCAACUUCUGAAAUGUUGACCUCGGAUCAGGUAGGAAUACCCGCUGAACUUAAGCAUAUCAAUAAGCGGAGGAA
This 581-nucleotide ribosomal RNA is filed under the name Trichoderma harzianum. RNAcentral's name for it is "eukaryotic LSU rRNA". The stretch from base 194 to 347 matches the Rfam family "5.8S ribosomal RNA". Lineage: Eukaryota; Fungi; Ascomycota; Sordariomycetes; Hypocreales; Hypocreaceae. The record is from RNAcentral.